RNAcentral lists this ribosomal RNA (264 nucleotides) under uncultured bacterium. RNAcentral describes it as "partial 16S ribosomal RNA". It matches the Rfam family "Bacterial small subunit ribosomal RNA", at positions 88 to 354 of the family's 1533-position model. The record is from RNAcentral.
CCGGCGACCGGCGCACGGGUGAGUAACACGUAUGCAACCUGCCCGUCUCAGGGGGAUAAUCGUCGGAAACGGCGUCUAAUACCCCGUAUGAAGCUGGACGGCAUCGUCUGGUUUUGAAAGAAUAUCGGAGACGGAUGGGCAUGCGGCGCACUAGCUAGUUGGCGGGGUAACGGCCCACCAAGGCGACGAUGCGUAGGGGUUCUGAGAGGAAGGUCCCCCACACUGGUACUGAGACACGGACCAGACUCCUACGGAAGGCAGCAG